UGGGGAAUAUUGGACAAUGGGCGCAAGCCUGAUCCAGCAAUACCGCGUGUGUGAUGAAGGUCUUCGGAUUGUAAAACACUUUUAAUUAGAAAGAUGGUGAGGAUGCUAAUACCAUGCCUCAUUGACGUUACUAAUAGAAUAAGCACCGGCUAACUCUGUGCCAGCAGCCGCGGUAAGACAGAGGGUGCAAGCGUUAAUCGAAAUAACUGGGCGUAAAGAGUACGUAGGCGGGGACGUCAGUCGUAUGUGAAAGAUCGAGGCUCAACCUUGAAACGGCAUACGAUACUGCGUUCCUCGAGUAUGGCAGAGGUAAGUGGAAUUUCCGGUGUAGCGGUGAAAUGCAUAGAUAUCGGAAGGAACACCAGUGGCGAAGGCGGCUUACUGGGCCAUUACUGACGCUGAGGUACGAAAGCGUGGGGAGCAAACA
RNAcentral lists this ribosomal RNA (427 nucleotides) under uncultured Pseudomonadota bacterium. RNAcentral describes it as "uncultured proteobacterium partial 16S ribosomal RNA". It matches the Rfam family "Bacterial small subunit ribosomal RNA", at positions 355 to 774 of the family's 1533-position model. The record is from RNAcentral. Lineage: Bacteria; Pseudomonadati; Pseudomonadota.